Molecule: long non-coding RNA, 238 nt
Organism: Phycodurus eques (leafy seadragon)
Lineage: Eukaryota; Metazoa; Chordata; Actinopteri; Syngnathiformes; Syngnathidae
Exons: 3
Source: RefSeq, a predicted model, not a curated record
GGAGCAGAAGCUGAAGGACAAGCUACGGGAGACCAUGCAGUGCUGGGAUGCGGAAAAACUGGAACUCAAUUCCAGACCAUGGAGCUGACGGAUGCACUGAAGCAACUCCCCAGCCAAAACAGCGAGAAGGACGCUAGCCUGGACAGAAUGGAGACGAGCAGAAGCAAAGACAAAGGAGAGAUGGAAGUCUUCCAGGCUGAAAACCAAGCCCUUCAGAAAGUAGUCAGCGAAGUUCAUC